This 114-nucleotide ribosomal RNA is filed under the name Chinchilla lanigera (long-tailed chinchilla). The record is from RNAcentral. Lineage: Eukaryota; Metazoa; Chordata; Mammalia; Rodentia; Chinchillidae.
GUCUACGGCCAUAUCACUCUGAAGGCGCCCGAUCUCGUCUGAUCUCAGAAACUAAGCUAGGUCUGGUUAGUACUUGGAUGGGAAGAUUCAUAGAAAUCCAUAUAUAAGUACACA